Molecule: unclassified non-coding RNA, 348 nt
Filed under: soil metagenome
Description: partial contains 5.8S ribosomal RNA, internal transcribed spacer 2, and large subunit ribosomal RNA
Rfam family: 5.8S ribosomal RNA (bases 1-120)
Source: RNAcentral
GAUGAAGAACGUAGCGAAAUGCGAUAAGUAAUGUGAAUUGCAGAAUUCAGUGAAUCAUCGAAUCUUUGAACGCACAUUGCGCCCGCCAGUAUUCUGGCGGGCAUGCCUGUCUGAGCGUCAUUUCAACCCUCAUGCCCCUAGGGCGUGGUGUUGGGGAUCGGCCAAAGCCCGCGAGGGACGGCCGGCCCCUAAAUCUAGUGGCGGACCCGUCGUGGCCUCCUCUGCGAAGUAGUGAUAUUCCGCAUCGGAGAGCGAUGAGCCCCUGCCGUUAAACCCCCAACUUUCCAAGGUUGACCUCAGAUCAGGUAGGACUACCCGCUGAACUUAAGCAUAUCAAUAAGCGGAGGA